UUCCUGGUGGCUCAGCUGGUAAAGAAUCUGCUUGCAAUGCAGGAGACCUGAGUUCGAUCCCUGGUUGGGAAG
This 72-nucleotide transfer RNA is filed under the name Bos taurus (domestic cattle). It matches the Rfam family "tRNA". Rfam says of the family: Transfer RNA (tRNA) molecules are approximately 80 nucleotides in length. Their secondary structure includes four short double-helical elements and three loops (D, anti-codon, and T loops). The record is from Rfam by way of RNAcentral. Lineage: Eukaryota; Metazoa; Chordata; Mammalia; Artiodactyla; Bovidae. RNAcentral also lists the same sequence under 2 other names.